RNAcentral lists this ribosomal RNA (465 nucleotides) under uncultured bacterium. RNAcentral describes it as "partial 16S ribosomal RNA". It matches the Rfam family "Bacterial small subunit ribosomal RNA", at positions 28 to 507 of the family's 1533-position model. The record is from RNAcentral.
GACGAACGCUAGCGGCGUGCUUAACACAUGCAAGUCGAACGGAAAGGCCCCUUCGGGGGUACUCGAGUGGCGAACAGGUGAGUAACACGUGAGUAACCUGCCCUUGACUUCGGGAUAACUUCAGGAAACUGGGGCUAAUACCGGAUAGGAAUCCUUGCUGCAUGGUGGGGGUUGGAAAGCUUCGGCGGUUUUGGAUGGACUCGCGGCUUAUCAGCUUGUUGGUGGGGUAGUGGCUUACCAAGGCUUUGACGGGUAGCCGGCCUGGGAGGGCGACCGGCCACAUUGGGACUGAGAUACGGCCCAGACUCCUACGGGAGGCAGCAGUGGGGAAUAUUGCACAAUGGGCGGAAGCCUGAUGCAGCAACGCCGCGUGCGGGAUGACGGCCUUCGGGUUGGAAACCGCUUUCAGCAGGGGCGAAGCUUGUGGUGACGGUACCUGCAGAAGAAGCACCGGCUAACUACGUG